Molecule: ribosomal RNA, 250 nt
Filed under: uncultured bacterium
Lineage: Bacteria
Description: partial 16S ribosomal RNA
Rfam family: Bacterial small subunit ribosomal RNA
Source: RNAcentral
UACGGAGGGUGCGAGCGUUGUCCGGAAUCACUGGGCGUAAAGGGCGCGUAGGCGGCCUUGGGAAGUCAACGGUGAAAGCUCGGCGCUCAACGCCGAGUCGGCCGUCGAUACUCCCAGGCUCGAGUCGACUAGAGGCAGAUGGAAUUCCGGGUGUAGCGGUGGAAUGCGUAGAGAUCCGGAAGAACACCGGUGGCGAAGGCGGUCUGCUGGGGUCGAACUGACGCUGAGGCGCGACAGCGUGGGGAGCAAA